GAUGAACGCUGGCGGCGUGCCUAAUACAUGCAAGUCGAGCGAACGGACGAGAAGCUUGCUUCUCUGAUGUUAGCGGCGGACGGGUGAGUAACACGUGGAUAACCUACCUAUAAGACUGGGAUAACUUCGGGAAACCGGAGCUAAUACCGGAUGAUAUUUUGAACCGCAUGGUUCAAAAGUGAAAGACGGUCUUGCUGUCACUUAUAGAUGGAUCCGCGCUGCAUUAGCUAGUUGGUAAGGUAACGGCUUACCAAGGCAACGAUGCAUAGCCGACCUGAGAGGGUGAUCGGCCACACUGGAACUGAGACACGGUCCAGACUCCUACGGGAGGCAGCAGUAGGGAAUCUUCCGCAAUGGGCGAAAGCCUGACGGAGCAACGCCGCGUGAGUGAUGAAGGUCCUCGGACCGUAAAACUCUGUUAUUAGGGAAGAACAUAUGUGUAAGUAACUGUGCACAUCUUGACGGUACCUAAUCAGAAAGCCACGGCUAACUACGUG
RNAcentral lists this ribosomal RNA (497 nucleotides) under uncultured bacterium. RNAcentral describes it as "partial 16S ribosomal RNA". It matches the Rfam family "Bacterial small subunit ribosomal RNA", at positions 28 to 507 of the family's 1533-position model. The record is from RNAcentral.